CAGUCAUCCAGAUUCGGAGGUGAUGAAGGGGCAGCAUGCAAUCAGUCAGGAAAACGUCAGACUAAGCCAUGCCAUCAAAGCACUGAGAGGAAAAGCCUUCCACAAAGAGAGACUCAAAGCCAGUGCUUAAGUUUAGACAUAUCAUGUCACUCACAGGGGAAGACUGUCCUUUCCAUCAGUUAGAAGCUUAUUAGUGUCUUAAAGAAUGAUCCAUGCAGCUGCCUGCUCCACGGGCACCAGCCCAGUGCUGCUCUCACAGCCCAUACUCUCCUCCCUCGGCCUGGCAGAGGCAGCAGGCCUGCACACCUCCAGGCUCACCAGCACACAGCACACUUGUGGGUGCCCCAAUCAACAGCACAGCCCCUCUGCCUACUGAUUUCAGAAUACACUACCUGGCUCCCCAGCUGUAUCAAAUUCAAAGAACAGGCCCCUUGAUACUCCAAACUGGCUGAAGAUAACUGGCCCUGUCUUCAGUGUAAAAAGGAUGACUCAGAGACAGAUGGUCACAGUUGCCGUCUUCCACUGACUGGGGAGAAAAUGUGUGCUUGAUGGCCCUCAGCACGUAUGAAAUCUCAAAGCUCUGGAAUUUUCAUAUUACAUAAGUAAACAUAUGUCACAGAAAA
Gallus gallus (chicken) is the source of this 623-nucleotide long non-coding RNA. RefSeq lists it as uncharacterized. NCBI's taxonomy places the organism in Eukaryota, Metazoa, Chordata, Aves, Galliformes, Phasianidae. The transcript is spliced from 3 exons. The record is from RefSeq and is a predicted model, not a curated record.